Molecule: non-coding RNA, 27 nt
Filed under: Rattus norvegicus (Norway rat)
Lineage: Eukaryota; Metazoa; Chordata; Mammalia; Rodentia; Muridae
Source: RNAcentral
AGGGAAUUGUACAAAAGGCUCUGCUGC